This 506-nucleotide ribosomal RNA is filed under the name uncultured bacterium. RNAcentral's name for it is "partial 16S ribosomal RNA". It matches the Rfam family "Bacterial small subunit ribosomal RNA", at positions 30 to 523 of the family's 1533-position model. The record is from RNAcentral.
AUUGAACGCUGGCGGCAGGCCUAACACAUGCAAGUCGAACGGCAGCACAGAAGAGCUUGCUCUUUGGGUGGCGAGUGGCGGACGGGUGAGUAAUGUCUGGGAAACUGCCCGAUGGAGGGGGAUAACUACUGGAAACGGUAGCUAAUACCGCAUAACGUCGCAAGACCUAAGUGGGGGACCUUCGGGCCUCACACCAUCGGAUGUGCCCAGACGGGAUUAGCUAGUAGGUGGGGUAAUGGCUCACCUAGGCGACGAUCCCUAGCUGGUCUGAGAGGAUGACCAGCCAAACUGGAACUGAGACACGGCCCAGACUCCUACGGGAGGCAGCAGUGGGGAAUAUUGCACAAUGGGCGCAAGCCUGAUGCAGCCAUGCCGCGUGUAUGAAGAAGGCCUUCGGGUUGUAAAGUACUUUCAGCGGGGAGGAAGGCGGUGAGGUUAAUAACCUUGCCGAUUGACGUUACCCGCAGAAGAAGCACCGGCUAACUCCGUGCCAGCCGCCGCUGUAA